Molecule: ribosomal RNA, 99 nt
Filed under: Bison bison bison
Lineage: Eukaryota; Metazoa; Chordata; Mammalia; Artiodactyla; Bovidae
Source: RNAcentral
AUCAGCCUGAAGGCGCCCGAUCUCGUCUGAUCUCGGAAGCUAAAGCAGGGUCGGGCCUGGUUAGGAUCUUGGAUGGGAGACCACCUGGGAAUCCCGGGU